AUUGAACGCUGGCGGCAGGCUUAACACAUGCAAGUCGAGCGGAGCGAGGGUGCUUGCACCUUAGCUUAGCGGUGGACGGGUGAGUAAUGCUUAGGAAUCUGCCUAUUAGUGGGGGACAACAUUCCGAAAGGAAUGCUAAUACCGCAUACGCCCUACGGGGGAAAGCAGGGGAUCUUCGGACCUUGCGCAAAUAGAUGGGCCUAAGUCGGAUUAGCUAGUUGGUGGGGUAAAGGCCUACCAAGGCGACGAUCUGUAGCGGGUCUGAGAGGAUGAUCCGCCACACUGGGACUGGGACACGGCCCAGACUCCUACGGGAGGCAGCAGUGGGGAAUAUUGGACAAUGGGCGGAAGCCUGAUCCAGCCAUGCCGCGUGUGUGAAGAAGGCCUUUUGGUUGUAAAGCACUUUAAGCGAGGAGGAGGCUACUUAGAUUAAUACUCUGGGAUAGUGGACGUUACUCGCAGAAUAAGCACCGGCUAACUCUGUGCCAGCCGCCGCGGUAA
RNAcentral lists this ribosomal RNA (501 nucleotides) under uncultured bacterium. Its description in RNAcentral is "partial 16S ribosomal RNA". It matches the Rfam family "Bacterial small subunit ribosomal RNA", at positions 30 to 523 of the family's 1533-position model. The record is from RNAcentral.